This 462-nucleotide ribosomal RNA is filed under the name uncultured bacterium. Its description in RNAcentral is "partial 16S ribosomal RNA". It matches the Rfam family "Bacterial small subunit ribosomal RNA", at positions 28 to 506 of the family's 1533-position model. The record is from RNAcentral.
GACGAACGCUGGCGGCGUGCUUAACACAUGCAAGUCGAACGGAAAGGCCUUUUCGGAGGUACUCGAGUGGCGCACGGGUGAGUAACACGUGGGUGAUCUGCCCUGCACUCUGGGAUAAGCCUGGGAAACUGGGUCUAAUACCGGAUAGGACCGCACUUUAGUGUGUGUGGUGGAAAGUUUUUUCGGUGUAGGAUGAGCCCGCGGCCUAUCAGCUUGUUGGUGGGGUAAUGGCCUACCAAGGCGGCGACGGGUAGCCGGACUGAGAGGUUGGUCGGCCACAUUGGGACUGAGAUACGGCCCAGACUCCUACGGGAGGCAGCAGUGGGGAAUAUUGCACAAUGGGCGCAAGCCUGAUGCAGCGACGCCGCGUGGGGGAUGACGGCCUUCGGGUUGUAAACUCCUUUCGCCAGGGACGAAGCGUUUUGUGACGGUACCUGGAGAAGAAGCACCGGCUAACUACGU